Marmota monax (woodchuck) is the source of this 6629-nucleotide RNA transcript. It is a transcript of the gene named serine/threonine kinase 33, with no coding region annotated. The transcript has 15 exons. The record is from RefSeq and is a predicted model, not a curated record. NCBI's taxonomy places the organism in Eukaryota, Metazoa, Chordata, Mammalia, Rodentia, Sciuridae.
GCCGGCCCCAAGGGAGGGAGCGUACGUCCCGGGCGGUGGCCGGCCCGGGCCGUUGCUAUGGCAACGCGCGGGGCAAACGGGCCUCUGGGCCUCCGGCUGCCGAUCCACUGGCGGUCCCAGCUGCGGAGGAACCGGACCCGGGCCCGCGGACCCCUUAGUGUCUCCUGGGGCCGAGCGGUUGGAACCCCAUUUUACUCGGGUCCGGUGUUUGGGGUGGUCCCUGACUGCCCCGGUUCAUCUACACCUUUUCACCUCCACCCCACCUUGGGACGUGAACCUCUUUGAAAGUUUAAAAGCGAACUUAAUAUAGGAUCUCAUGUGUGAAUAUAAAUCUAGUACAUCAUUAACCUAAGGACCUUACCAAUUGGAAAUUGCAGUUUUCACCUUCAAACUACCAUAUCCUUUUUGAUUAUUCUCUUCCUAAAAAAGUGUAAACAUCUUUCAAGUUAUUUUUGUUGCAGAGCUAAACAAAUGGCUGAUAGUGACUUGAAUAAAAUAUCUAGACAAUGUCCCCACUGUUCAUCUACCCUGCAGAAUAAUGGACUUAGAUUAUGUUCUUGCACAUCAAACUAUUCUCCAGUUUUGGUGGUAGAAAUGUCACAGACAUCAAGCAUUGCCAGUUCAGAAAUCGUAGUUUCAGCAGAGAGAAAAAAAGAAAAAAGUAUCAGCAGAGAACCUUCUGGGAAAGAUUUGACCUCCAGAACCUCAAAUGUAGAAAGAAAACCAUGUCAACAACAGUGGAGUCGGUGCAACAUUUCAGAAGGAAAAGUUCCUCACAUAAGGAUGGAGGAUGGAUCUUCUAUUGAGGAUUUCUAUACCUUUGGAAGAAUAUUGGGACAAGGGAGCUUUGGACUGGUUGUUGAAGCUACAGACAAGGAAACAGAAACUAAGUGGGCAAUUAAAACAGUGAAUAAAGAAAAGGCUGGAAGCUCUGCUGUGAAGUUACUUGAACGGGAGGUGAAUAUCCUAAAAAGUGUAAAUCAUAAACACAUCAUACAUUUGGAACAAGUAUUUGAGACAUCUAAGAAAAUGUACCUUGUGAUGGAGCUUUGUGAGGAUGGAGAACUCAAAGCAGUUCUGGAUAGGAAAGGGCAUUUCUCAGAGAAUGAGACAAGGUGGAUCAUUCAAAGUCUUGCAUCAGCUAUAGCAUACCUUCAUACUAAGGAUAUAGUACAUAGAGAUCUAAAACUGGAAAACAUAUUGGUAAAAAGCAGCUUUGUUGAUGCUAACAAUGAAAUGAACUUAAAUAUAAAGGUGACUGAUUUUGGCUUGGCAGUAAAGAAACAUGGUAGGGCUGAAGCCAUGAUGCAGGCCACAUGUGGAACUCCUAUCUAUAUGGCACCUGAAGUUAUCAAUGCCCACGACUAUAGCCAGCAGUGUGACAUUUGGGGCAUAGGUGUCAUAAUGUAUUAUUUGUUAUGUGGAGAAGCACCCUUCUUGGCAAACUCAGAAGAAACUCUUUUUGAGUUAAUAAAAAAGGGAGAACUACAUUUUGAAAAUCCAAUCUGGAAUUCCGUCGGUGAUUGUGCCAAAAGUGUUUUGAAACAACUUCUGAAAGUAGAUCCAGCUCACAGAAUUACCGCUAAGGAACUACUAGAUAACCAGUGGUUAACAGGAAAUACACAUUCUUCAAUGAGGCCUACCAAUGUAUUAGAAAUGAUGAAAGAAUGGAAAAAUAACCCAGAAACCGAUGAAGAUGAUGAGACAGCUGAGAAGAAUAACUCAUCUCUUCAAGAAAAGUUGGAAAGUUCCCAGCUCAGGGAAAAUAUCCAGGAUGUCAAUAAUACUUCAGAUGUAAAGAAUCAAAAACAGCUUGGCUUCGUUGACCAAAAGGCUAUCUCUGAGGCAUCAAUGACAAUCUCUCUGACACCUCCCAUGCACCACAGGACAGAGAGCUGGGUUUUGCCCAGAGGGACACACUUUGUCUCCACAGUACAAAGCAGUUGUUUCCAAUACUGAUCAACUCUCUGACUUGAUGGCAGGAGCAGUUGCCGGGUUCUAGCUGUACUCCCUUUUCCCCAGCAAUGCAGAACUUAGUCACAGACCUCAGCUAUUCAGUUGAAGUUUCAUGUCUACUUUCUGCUUCCUGAUUUUUUAUACUAGUUCACAUCCAUGAAACACUGCCACGUGCCCCACCCCAUAUUAAACUUCAGCAAGAAUGUCUCACCUGCAGUGCAUCCUGAUUGCUUGGAGAGUAGCUAAACAAUUCUUUCUCCAAAGUGACCAGCCUCUGGCUCUGUGGCAGCAGCAUGAAAGAUGGAGUGGCAUAAAUGUUGUUCACCAGGUAACAAGGCCACAGCAGCCAAAUCAUCAUUCCAUAGCCUCCCAUCAGCAAGAAGUCAGAAGACCGGUGGACCAAGAACUUAUCCCAAAUGAAAUUUGCAGGAUAAUAACUUUUUGAAUGGUUCUGUCAGCACCCACCCACCUCCAUGACAUGCUUCCUGGGAUGGGGGCUCCCUGCCUUCCAACACAGAUGAAUCCUACUCUACAAACAACACAUAUGCUAGAAGAGUCUUCACAUUAUCUGACAUCUGCUCCUCUCCGGACUCUCUGGAACCUUAUAAAGUCAGCUCCUGCUGCCAUGCAAUGGCCCCUCAGGGUUGAGGGUGAUCUCUAAAUCCCCGAGCAUCUUCUACAGUCCAAAUAUCCCCACUUCUCUUGGGCUCCAGUCUAAUUUUUCUGUCUCUCCAAGUGUGACCUGGACCCCAGAACUCUGGAUGCCACACCUCUGUCAUGUGUCGUGUGUUCCUGUUAACAAGGAUGCAUGGCUAUCUGGCUUUAGUUCCCUGUGACAGGCUUUAAUGACAACAUAUCUCUGAAGCACAUUUAUUUUCUUACUUAUGUCCUUGUGGCAGACUUCCUGUCACCACUAAAGAAUCCUUUUGCUGCAUAAUGCCCUCAGGAGUAACAGAGUAUGUUGAUGUGCCUGGGUUGGAUCUGAGUCACAGAGCCCUGAGUUUACCAGAGAAGACAGAAUUAUUUUCCAUAAGUCUCUGUCUUGCUAAUUAUGCACUGAGAUAUAUGGAAAAGUAAAAAGGUACAGAUCAAAUUACAGACCUGCUUGCCAGGGAAUGCAUUAGCGGCCCAGCUACCUCUGGAGGGGCAGUAAGACACAAAGGAGAGGCCUGGCAACCUCAGACAGUACCUGUCCCAAGCCCUCUAGCAGACACAUGUGAGUUGUCAUCCGUGCCUGAGUGCUGUGGGCAUCCCGCCUUCCCAUCCUCAGGCAUGGCGAGUGGGGUGGGAAUUAACCUCCAUGACUGGCUCCAAUGGCCCUGAGUGUUCCUCCUCUGUUACUAAAAGGAAUCUGUGUCAUUUUCAGAGAAAAUUCUGAGCUACACCCAAACAUCUCUGAGAAUUUCCAGGAGUGCUCUUGCAUGUCCUUGGUCACCUGUAUCUCUUUUCCUAGAGCAGAAGUUCAAGUGUGACCCUCAACACCAAAGUGUUGCUUCUGAUAUCCUGGCCUUCACUGUUCCUUCCAAGGCCUCUGCUUUACUGGCUACUGGGCAGAUUCUGGUGAGCCAGUGGCUGGGGUAGCUGCUGCCAGCAACAUGCCACAUGUCCAAUGUGGUGAGGGUCAGUCUUGAAUCCCAGGGAUCCAUCCUGACCUGGCAUGAUGCAGUUGCCUAAGCUCUUGGGUCCUUCUUCCCUCACCGCAGGGUGUCCCUUAAGUAGACUGGCCUUGUGGAGCAGAGUGAGUGGGUGGUGAGUGAGUGCUGGGGAGCAUGCAACGUAAGAUAUAGGGUGGGAGCUAGGUAGGAGUAUUUGGGAAGGGGUGUCCUGUGGGAUGUGAGUGGGAGGGAGGGGCCCUCAGAAAUUGCUCAGGCUUCUUUGGCCCCACUCCUGGGUCUCUGGAGCUUUCCAGGAAUCCUGACAUGCAAUGUGUCUGCUUUCUAUCUGGACUCCAAAGUAAAGACACCAGCAGGCUAUUUCCAACUGUCAAAGGACAGAAUGCAAAGAGCAUAUCUGCCUGUGAUGAAGCGGCUCAGGCCCACUCGUACCUAAAGUUUUGAGUGACAAAAUCUUUCAAAACACAGAGCCCAUCAUGGAGAUACUAAGAGGCAUCUUUGGAGGUGCAAAAUUUAAGGAGUAGCCCAGCCCUCCCUACCCUGCAGCAGGCCCAGGGAAGGAGGGUUGUGGUGGUUCAGUGCUCGCUAGACCAGAGCCAGGCAGGGUGUCAGAAGAGAGUGGAAACGAAAUGGACCCCUACACGGGGUCAGGGAAGGCACAGCUCUUAUGGCUUAGUCACACACAGCUCUGGCAGCUGGUCCCCUGACAGCUUAGCCCACCUUCAGUCUCUAGGGUGAGCAGCAGAAGCCCUAACCCUUAGCUGCUGUAAAGGGGGAAAGAGGCCGGCAGGAGACACUCCGCUGGCCUAGAUUUCUUGAGUACCCUUAAGAAAUCAUGUGGAGGUCCCCAUCACAGCCUUUGGAAGUGAAGAGAUUUAAAAUGAGGUACAUUUAAAUUGGCCAGUUUAUGGGGAACUUGUUUGGGACUAAGGUGAAUACUGGGGAUUUGCAGUGGCACCCACCUGCACAAUGGAGACAGCAGUAUCAACAUCAAGACUGUAGGGCAUCUACUGGUCAUUCUUGGUCAACAGGACACCAUCUCCAGUUUUUGCUUUGGCUGUGACAUGGUUGAGGAAAGUGGUAGUGUUUACAAGGUGCAAAGGGGCACAGUCUGGUCACUGGUUUUGAUUAAUGGACAAACAGAAGCAGGAAAUGGGACAGCAAGGAGGAAAGAACAGGUGCUAGGAAAACACCUUCAGAUUCUGCUUUUGAAGCCCAGUGGCUAUGGCAGCCACCCCUCCUCCCCAGGACUCAGGAUUCCAAGCCUCCACAAAGACCCCUGUUUCCAGGAGCCCCCUUGCCCCAUGUGGCCAGUGUGCUGUGUUGGCUGGGUCAGAACUACAGCUCUGACAAGCUCACUGACCUGGGGAACAGUCCAUGGCCAGCUCAGGAAGAAAGAAGGGAAGGAGGGUGGGAAGGGGGGGAGGAAGAGAAGGAAGGGAACGUGUUGUUUUUUUUGGAGCCCAAGGAUUAGGUUGUGCUCUUCAAACUGAGUUUCCCAACCCUCCAGACUAGGACCCCUGAACCCCAAGAUUCACUGAUCUGCUUCUACUUUCUAGAGAAAAGGGAUUUGCAAGUAAAUGAGUUGUACACAACUUGCUGCUGGCAGCACAUAUGAACUGCUUACAUACGAUUCAAGAAUAUAAGCUUAAACACAUUAUAAAACAGUUCUCUGCGAGCCUGAAAAUUGGCCGGUAGUUCUAUUACUUUCCCCUGGAUGGUAUUGUUAGUCUCUCAAGUAACACAAAUUCAAGGGCUACAUCACCAAUGAUGAGUUUCUUUCUGUGGGAGUGGUGGGAACCAACAGGAACGCCCACUUCAAAUGCUCAUGGUUGGGAGGUAAGACCCUGGUUACCCUGUUGCUGCAAAUAAGCGUUACUACGCAUUUUCAGGGUAAAUCGACAAGCAACUACAUGGAGAACAACAAAGCUAAAUUCAUGGGAGUCUGUAGUUAAAAGCAGAAUAGCAGCUAAUUAAAACCACCACCACUUAGGACAGUGGCUCUUUAAACCCUGCAAAUGUGCUUUUGUGGGGAGCUCUGCAGCACGAAUGCAGCCACAAGUCUUAGCGGGCUUGGCAUUGCAAUCUUUCAUAGUCUCUGGAAACACAUUUAAGUUUAGCCCAAUUCUGGGAUGGAGAAAAUGCUACAUGUUAAAAGUUCCCCUUAGAAAGGGAACAUGCUUGCUUGCAAAAUAGCCCAAGAUGGGUGCCUAGGCUAGAAGAUGAGAUGCCUGGCAGGACUGAAUCCUGGUAUGGCUAUUGAAGGAGAGGAGAGUGAGGGAAGGGUGAGGUGGGGAGGAUGUGUCCACUUCUCUGGAGAGAAAGUGAGAGAAUUCCAGAUAAUCAAACCCUCCACUUGCAAUGUGUGAAGAUCCCUGUUAGGGGCUAAAUAUUUGUGUCCCACUUAUGUCAAAGCCAACCCCCAGCCAGGCAUAGUGGCGCAUGCGUAUAAUCCCAGUAUGUUGGAGGCUGAGGGGGGAGGUUCGAGAGUUCAAGGCCAGCCUCAGCAACUUAGCGAGUCCCUGUCCCAAAAUAAAAUACAAAAAAAAAAAAAGGGAUGGGGAUGUGGCUCAGUAGCUAAGUGUCCCUGGAUUCAAUCCCCAGUACAGAAAAUUAAUAAAUAAAAAAUAACCAACCCCCAGUGUGACUGUAUCUGGAGGUAGAGCCUUUAUGGAAGUAAUUAAGGUAAAAUGGGUCACUAAGGUAGGGCUGUGAUGGAAAAGGAUUAGUGUCCUCACAAAAAGAGACAAUACAGAGCUUACUUGUGUGCUUGUGGGCUCUCCAUCCACCUGUGUGAGGACCAGCAGAAAGGUGAAUGUAUACAAACCAGAAAGAGGGUCCUCACCAGAAAUUGAACUUGAUCCUGGAUUUCCAGCCCCUUGAGAAAACAAGUGUCUGUUGUUCGAAUGACCUUGUUUGUCCUUUUAAUUUUAGGACAAGGUGUAACUAAGUUGCCCAGGCUGGCCUUGAACUUGUGAUCUUCCUGCCUCAGCUUCCUGAGUAGCUGGGGUUACAGGUGUGUGCCACCACAUCCGGCUUCUGCUUCUGCUUCCAUCUCCA